Molecule: ribosomal RNA, 497 nt
Filed under: uncultured bacterium
Lineage: Bacteria
Description: partial 16S ribosomal RNA
Rfam family: Bacterial small subunit ribosomal RNA
Source: RNAcentral
GAUGAACGCUGGCGGCGUGCCUAAUACAUGCAAGUCGAGCGAACGGACGAGAAGCUUGCUUCUCUGAUGUUAGCGGCGGACGGGUGAGUAACACGUGGAUAACCUACCUAUAAGACUGGGAUAACUUCGGGAAACCGGAGCUAAUACCGGAUAAUAUUUUGAACCGCAUGGUUCAAAAGUGAAAGACGGUCUUGCUGUCACUUAUAGAUGGAUCCGCGCUGCAUUAGCUAGUCGGUAAGGUAACGGCUUACCAAGGCAACGAUGCAUAGCCGACCUGAGAGGGUUAGCCGCCACACCGGAACUGGGGACACGGCCCGAACCCUAAGGGAAGCCACAGUAGGGAAUCUUCCGCAAUGGGCGAAAGCCUGACGGAGCAACGCCGCGUGAGUGAUGAAGGUCUUCGGAUCGUAAAACUCUGUUAUUAGGGAAGAACAUAUGUGUAAGUAACUGUGCACAUCUUGACGGUACCUAAUCAGAAAGCCACGGCUAACUACGUG